CCCGCCCUUGUAAAUGUGUUUAUCUUCCGGGAAGCUAGGUUGGUAGAGGGUGGUGGGCAGCCCUGAAGCUGAGGAAGUGCUGAUCGGAAGGAGAGACGCGGCGGGUGAUAUCAGUUUAAUCUAGGUUUAUGGACCACACCUGACUCCUUCCUUCCCUCCUUCUGCCUCCCAUAUUUUUGAUUUCUUCACAUGUAUUGUUUGUCAGGAGUGACUGAAAUAAAAAUAUAAUAGAGUCCAUCAUCAUCAUGGGAAUGGCUUUAAAAGAAAACUCGUCAGAGGAAUAUUACUGCUUCCCAUUGUCAACCAGUAAAUAGUUGCAAUUGAA
Myotis myotis is the source of this 325-nucleotide long non-coding RNA. RefSeq lists it as uncharacterized. The transcript is spliced from 2 exons. The record is from RefSeq and is a predicted model, not a curated record. Lineage: Eukaryota; Metazoa; Chordata; Mammalia; Chiroptera; Vespertilionidae.